AGUGAACGCUGGCGGUAGGCCUAACACAUGCAAGUCGAACGGCAGCACAGUAAGAGCUUGCUCUUACGGGUGGCGAGUGGCGGACGGGUGAGGAAUACAUCGGAAUCUACUUUUUCGUGGGGGAUAACGUAGGGAAACUUACGCUAAUACCGCAUACGACCUACGGGUGAAAGCAGGGGAUCUUCGGACCUUGCGCGAUUGAAUGAGCCGAUGUCGGAAUAGCUAGUUGGCGGGGUAAAGGCCCACCAAGGCGACGAUCCGUAGCUGGUCUGAGAGGAUGAUCAGCCACACUGGAACUGAGACACGGUCCAGACUCCUAAGGGAGGCAGCAGUGGGGAAUAUUGGACAAUGGGCGCAAGCCUGAUCCAGCCAUACCGCGUGGGUGAAGAAGGCCUUCGGGUUGUAAAGCCCUUUUGUUGGGAAAGAAAAGCAGCAGGUUAAUACCCCGCUGUUCUGACGGUACCCAAAGAAUAAGCACCGGCUAACUUCGUG
RNAcentral lists this ribosomal RNA (492 nucleotides) under uncultured bacterium. RNAcentral's name for it is "partial 16S ribosomal RNA". It matches the Rfam family "Bacterial small subunit ribosomal RNA", at positions 29 to 507 of the family's 1533-position model. The record is from RNAcentral.